GACGAACGCUGGCGGCGGGCUUAACACAUGCAAGUCGAACGGAAAGGCCCUGCUUUUGUGGUGUGCUCGAGUGGCGAACGGGUGAGUAACACGUGAGUAACCGGCCCUUGACUUUUGUAUAACUUCAGGAAACUGGGGCUAAUACCGGAUAGGAGCUCCUGCUGCAUGGUGGGGGUUGGAAAGUUUCGGCGGUUGGGGAUGGACUCGCGGCUUAUCAGCUUGUUGGUGGGGUAGUGGCUUACCAAGGCUUUGACGGGUAGCCGGCCUGAGAGGGUGACCGGCCACAUUGGGACUGAGAUACGGACCAGACUCCUACGGGAGGCAGCAGUGGGGAAUAUUGCACAAUGGGCGGAAGCCUGAUGCAGCAACGCCGCGUGCGGGAUGACGGCCUUCGGGUUGUAAACCGCUUUCGCCUGUGACGAAGCGUGAGUGACGGUAAUGGGUAAAGAAGCACCGGCUAACUACGUG
Molecule: ribosomal RNA, 468 nt
Filed under: uncultured bacterium
Lineage: Bacteria
Description: partial 16S ribosomal RNA
Rfam family: Bacterial small subunit ribosomal RNA
Source: RNAcentral